UUUAUGGGAACAAUAUUGGUGACACUUCCACCAAGCAUAUCAAGCUUCUGAGGUGGCAAGCCUAAUCACUAGUCCUUACGCUUUGCAAAGGAAAUGAAAGCAUGCAUGGCUUAACCAAAAGGUAUAUAUAUAUAGUAUCACAAAUAAUUAGGUAAGUAACGAAUAUAACAUUAAAAUGGCUAAAAAGGCCCUAGGUCAAAAUAGAUUGCUAACAAUAACAUUAAUACAAAGCCUAAAAAUAUGGGAUCUCACACCACAGUUUCUUGUGGAUACGUCUUUGAUCAUUUGACAAUGCAACAAGGUACAUGCCUCAUCUCGGGCAUUUUCCUAGCAUUGUUGGGGUCAAUUUAUUCAUAGAGACAUGUGGGUGUACAACAAAAGAUCUCUAAUUUUUAUAGUGGAAGGACUAUAUUCUAAGAUAUAAUUUAGGAGUCUUUGGGCCAUGCAUAUCAAUAUGAUUUAGGAAGUAUGCUCUAAAUCUUAUUCAGUAGAAUCAUAUAGAAGUAUUACAUUGGAUCGUAGACGUGAAAUAAACUAUCAAAUAAACAAUGUGGUUCAGUGACACGCCCGA
Molecule: long non-coding RNA, 571 nt
Filed under: Malus domestica (apple)
Lineage: Eukaryota; Viridiplantae; Streptophyta; Magnoliopsida; Rosales; Rosaceae
Description: long non-coding RNA (MDOM_LNC008722)
Source: RNAcentral